AUACAGAGGGUGCGAGCGUUAAUCGGAAUUACUGGGCGUAAAGCGCGCGUAGGUGGUUAUGUAAGUUGGAUGUGAAAGCCCCGGGCUUAACCUGGGAAUUGCAUUCAAAACUGCAUGGCUAGAGUCUGAUAGAGGGAAGUGGAAUUUCCGGUGUAGCGGUGAAAUGCGUAGAUAUCGGAAGGAACAUCAGUGGCGAAGGCGACUUCCUGGAUCAAGACUGACGCUGAGGUGCGAAAGCGUGGGGAGCAAACAGGAUUAGAAACCCCGGUAGUCC
Molecule: ribosomal RNA, 274 nt
Filed under: uncultured bacterium
Lineage: Bacteria
Description: partial 16S ribosomal RNA
Rfam family: Bacterial small subunit ribosomal RNA
Source: RNAcentral